GACGAACGCUGGCGGCGUGCCUAAUACAUGCAAGUAGAACGCACAGUUUAUACCGUAGCUUGCUACACCAUAAACUGUGAGUUGCGAACGGGUGAGUAACGCGUAGGUAACCUGCCUGGUAGCGGGGGAUAACUAUUGGAAACGAUAGCUAAUACCGCAUGAUAUUGAUUAUUGCAUGAUAAUUGAUUGAAAGAUGCUAUUGCAUCACUACCAGAUGGACCUGCGUUGUAUUAGCUAGUAGGUGAGGUAACGGCUCACCUAGGCGACGAUACAUAGCCGACCUGAGAGGGUGAUCGGCCACACUGGGACUGAGACACGGCCCAGACUCCUACGGGAGGCAGCAGUAGGGAAUCUUCGGCAAUGGACGAAAGUCUGACCGAGCAACGCCGCGUGAGUGAAGAAGGUUUUCGGAUCGUAAAGCUCUGUUGUAAGAGAAGAACGGGUGUGAGAGUGGAAAGUUCACACUGUGACGGUAUCUUACCAGAAAGGGACGGCUAACUACGUG
RNAcentral lists this ribosomal RNA (505 nucleotides) under uncultured bacterium. RNAcentral describes it as "partial 16S ribosomal RNA". It matches the Rfam family "Bacterial small subunit ribosomal RNA", at positions 28 to 507 of the family's 1533-position model. The record is from RNAcentral.